GAUGAACGCUGGCGGCGUGCCUAAUACAUGCAAGUCGAGCGAACAGACGAGGAGCUUGCUCCUCUGACGUUAGCGGCGGACGGGUGAGUAACACGUGGAUAACCUACCUAUAAGACUGGGAUAACUUCGGGAAACCGGAGCUAAUACCGGAUAAUAUAUUGAACCGCAUGGUUCAAUAGUGAAAGACGGUUUUGCGGUCACUUAUAGAUGGAUCCGCGCCGCAUUAGCUAGUUGGUAAGGUAACGGCUUACCAAGGCAACGAUGCGUAGCCGACCUGAGAGGGUGGUCGGCCACACGGGAGCGGAGACACGGUCCAGACGCCUACGGGAGGCAGCAGUAGGGAAUCUGCCGCAAUGGGCGAAAGCCUGACGGAACAGCGCCGCGUGAGUGAUGAAGGUCUUCGGAUCGUAAAACUCUGUUAUUAGGGAAGAACAAAUGUGUAAGUAACUAUGCACGUCUUGACGGUACCUGAUCAGAAAGCCACGGCUAACUACGUG
RNAcentral lists this ribosomal RNA (497 nucleotides) under uncultured bacterium. Its description in RNAcentral is "partial 16S ribosomal RNA". It matches the Rfam family "Bacterial small subunit ribosomal RNA", at positions 28 to 507 of the family's 1533-position model. The record is from RNAcentral.